AUAAAGGAGACUUGUUUCGUUUCGUUUGAUAACGGAAACUGAGUGCAGGGAGAAAGAGAAAGAAGCCGAGUACUUCCGUGUUUCGCCUCCCAGUGAAGAAUAUCACUGACAGAAACGGCCUGUCUUGUUGUCGACUGACCAUGACACUGUGAGCAGUGGCGAUUACAAAACAAUAUAUGGACCGAUUUCAUUUGUAACCUGGAUUAAUAAAUGAGACAAUGCUGCAGGGGUCUAAGAAAAAAGACAGACGUAUUCUAUCGGGUACGUGUCCGGAUCCUAAAUGCCAGGCUCGGCUGUUUUUCCCAGCCUAUGGAGUCAGUAUAGAAUGCACCGAAUGCGGCCAACGCCAUGAACAAAGAAAUCUGCUCAAGGUAGAGGAAGUCACCGACCCUGACGUGGUGCUGCAUAACCUGCUAAGGAAUGCUCUGCUGGGAGUCACGGCCCCCAAAAAGGGCACGGAAAUGGUGAAAGUAAUGGGGUUGUCCAACUACCAUUGUAAGCUGCUGUCUCCUAUCCUCACCCGGUAUGGCAUGGAUAAGCAAACUGGGAAGGCCAAGCUCCUCGGAGAGAUGAACCAAGGGGAAAUGUUUGAUUGUGCCUUGUUGGGUGACAGGGCUUUCCUUAUUGAUCCAGAGCACAUUGGAACUAUGGGCUAUGGUAAAGAUCGCUCAGGGAGUUUGUUAUACCUCCAUGAUACCCUAGAAGAAAUCAAGAAGGCCAAUAGUAAUCAAGAAUGUUUAAUUCCUGUUCAUGUUGAUGGUGAUGGCCAUUGUUUAGUUCACGCUGUGUCUAGGGCCUUGGUGGGUAGAGAGCUUUUUUGGCAUGCCCUGCGUGAAAAUCUCAAACAGCACUUUAAAUUAAACCUGGAUCGUUACAAAGCAUUGUUCCAUGACUUCAUUGAUGCAGCAGAAUGGGAGGAUAUAAUUAACGAAUGUGAUCCUUUGUUUAUACCACCUGAAGGAGUUCCUUUGGGUCUACGUAACAUCCAUAUAUUUGGUUUAGCAAAUGUAUUACACCGCCCAAUUAUUUUAUUAGAUUCCCUGAGUGGAAUGAGAAGUUGUGGAGAUUAUUCGGCUACUUUUCUUCCAGGAUUAGUUCCUGAAGAAAAAUGUCAGGGAAAGGAUGGACAGCUUAAUAAACCUAUUUGUAUUGCAUGGAGCAGUUUAGGACGCAACCAUUAUAUACCUUUGGUUGGAAUUAAAAGGGGUCCUUUACCUAUGCUUCCUUUGAAACUAUUGCCUAAAGCCUGGGGUGUUCCACAAGAGCUUAUUCGAAAGUACAUUCUGUUUGAAGAUGACAGUUGUACAUUAGGAGGCGACCGAAGUUUGCAAGAUAAGUACUUGCAGAGAUUAGUUACUGCAAUGGAAGAAAUUUUCUUGAAGAAACAUGACAUCCACCCUUCACUGGUAGCAGAUGUUCAUCAGUAUAUAUACAGAAGGACAGGGGUAAUUGGAAUACAACCUGAAGAUGUAACUGAAGCUGCAAAGAAAGCUGUAACUGAAAAUCGUUUGCAGAAAUGUUUGAUUUGCGGUGCUCUUUCAGAACUUCACGUGCCUACAGAAUGGUUGGUUCCAGGCGGAAAGCUAUACAAUUUAGCUGCAAGCACGCAUGGUCAACUGAAGCCAGACAAAAAUUACAGCUUUCCUGUUAACCAUCUUGUAUGUUCCUAUGACCCAAAAGAUGAUGUAUUGGUCCCAGAUUAUAAUUUGAGUCACUUAACAUCUUGCAACUGGUGUCAUGGUACAUCGAUGCGCCAUGUUAAAGGAGAUGGUUCGGUUGUGUAUAUAGAUGGAGAUCGAACUAACUCUAGAUCUGCUGGAGGCAAAUGUGGUUGUGGUUACAAGCAUUACUGGGAAGAAAAGGAAUACGAUAACUUACCUGAAGCAUUUCCAAUAACUUUGGAAUGGAGUGGAAGGGUGGUGCGAGAAACUGUGUAUUGGUUUCAGUAUGAAAGUGAAGUGGCUCUAAACAGCAAUGUUUAUGAUGUUGCUAUGAAGCUUGUCACCAAACAUUUUCCAGGUGAAUUUGGAAGUGAAAUUUUGAUUCAGAAAGUUGUUAGCAGAAUAUUACAUCAUACAGCCAAAAAGAAUCCCGAUGAAUAUACACCUGUCACAGUCGAAGGUGCACAUAGUCAGAGAGUUGGAGACAUGCAAGAUGAACCAACCACAGAACCACAUAUGCCUACCAAAAUUAUUUUAAUGGGUCAGAAAUCAAAGACUCUGCACAAAGAAGAAUUGAACAUGAGUAAAACUGAACGAAGUAUUCAGCAGAAUAUUAUUGACAAUGCAGCACUUUCGCAAAAGCGGAAAACCGACAAAUUGCGCCAGGAACUGAAAGGACCAGGCCAGCCAUCUGUUCCUGGAAUUGUGAAAGAUGGUUCAUCAUCUGCCCCAGUUACUCCCACUAAGUCCCCUUUCUCCCCAGUACCUACAAAGGAGAAAAAAAUUAGAGUAACCACUAGUGAUGGGAGACAGGCAACACUAACUCUUCAAGUAUCAGUAACUUUUUCUGAAUUUCAAGAAAGUAUAGCAAAAGAAUUUAAGCUUCCUCUACAUUUGCAAUGCAUACGGUAUGGCUUUCCUCCAAAGGAACUGCAUCGUCCCAAGGUGGGAUUUGAGAACGAGGCUUUGCCCCUACAACAUGGUGAUCGUGUAUCUGUGGAGAUCAUGAAGGACAACAAGGAAUCUGUGCCUGCUUGUUCAACAUCAGUGGCUUGUUCCUGGAAAGCUGAAGAAGAUGAAGCAUCUGGUCAAGCAUCUGUUAAGGAUGUGCAAGACCAUAUUGAUCUUGAAAUGUCAUCCCUCUGUCUUCUUGCAACUUUAAUGGGGGAGGAUGUUUGGUCGUAUGCAAAAAAGCUACCAUACUUAUUUGAAGAAGGUGGAGUGUUCUAUAAUGCAAUGAAGAAAGAUGUGGGUUUGGCAAAUGGCAAGCACUUCACACUUCCACACCUUCCUGGUAAAACAUUUGUGUAUAAUGGGACAGACAAUAGACUGGAGCUGUGCAUUGAUCCAGCAGGACAUAUCCCUAUUGGCCCGGACAUUGACAAUAUGAUCAAAGAGGCAUUAAGUCAGUUACGAUCUGAGGGAGGACCAAGAAGUAGAGAGGGAAGUCCUUCCUCGCAUGGAGGGAUGAAACUUGGAAGUGGAGGAGUAGUGCGAAAAAAGUCUGAACAAAUGCCAAAUGUCACAGCUUUCCAAGGAAAAGGCCAUUCCCUAGGGACUGCUUCAAGUAGCCCACAGUUGGAGCAGAGGCAUAGCAGGGAAAUGCAGAUGCAUAGAAAACAAAGUACAGGCACUUCCUCAGCAACAGACCUUAAUUGUGCUAUUGGAAAGUCAAGUGCUAAGCAAGAGGCUUCCCCACCAAAAUCCAGUGGUGGAGAUAGUCAGCUAAUACGAAUGGCGCCUGGUUUUGUAACAAUGCGUGAUGGUAGGCAACUUGAUCCCAAUUUAGUUGAAGCACAACGUAAGAAGUUACAGGAGAUGGUAUCUUCUAUUCAAGCUUCCAUGGAUAAACACUUGAGGGAUCAGAGUGCAGAAGAAUCAAUUCCUAGUGAUAUUCAUGAAACAAAGAUGCAAUACACAACUUCCUCUGUCCCAUUAGUAACAAGAACUGAAGGUCCUCAAACGGAUGCCCCGCAGCAAGAACCAGGCACUCCACAAGUAGGUGAUAAUGAAAAUUUAGGUAUGGAAACAACAACUGGUGUGGAACUCUUAUCUUAUUCAUCUAUACCAUCAUGCAAGGUACAAGAUUCAACCCUUUUGAAUGAAGACCUUGAAGAAAUGGAUAGUCAGGAAAUAGAAGGAACCGUAGAACCCAUGGAUCAUUCUUGAUUUCAUAUCGAAAUGGAUAUUAUAAAGCGUGUAAGCAGAGCUGGCUUUGUACAAGAAUCGUGACAUGGCAAAAGGAACUCAUCGUGUUCAAAAGACAGAAUCAGAUUUUAUUUUCCUUAUCCAUUGCAUCGUACCAAGAUUAUUCUUGGUAACCCACACAACGUCUGCCUUACUACUGUCCCUACUAAUCCACAAAUUAAUGUUAGCUUGUGCUUGGAUUCAGUUAUUGAUGCAGCUCUCAGUAAGACCUCUUUUAAUAAGAGAUGUCAGCCAGAAAUGUUUCCACAUCGUGUGUCAGACUGGAGAUCACACUUUGUUGUAAAGGACAAUAAGUACAACCAGCUGGCAUUCCACCCUCACAACUGACAGGAAUGGGAAAUUAGAAUGCAUUAGAAUAAAACUAUAGAAUUUUAAGGUGCCAGAUUCAUUGACCAUUUAUUUUCCAGUUGCUUAAUUCAUUUAUUAAUAAGAUUUAUCUCACUUCAUUCAUUUUGCUCUAAAGAUAUCACCACAAAUAUUUAGUUGUUACAAAUUAAGAAAAAUCAGCACCUUUAUAUAAAAAGAAAAAAAAGAAAAAAGAAAAAAAGAUUUCCAUUAUUCUCACUCAAAAUAGCUAAAUAUCAAACGUUGGACAUCAUAAUCCACAAUACGAUACAAAUUCUGAGAAAGCAAAUGUUUUUCCAUUUCAAUGUGCCAUGCUGUGGUGUAUAAGAUUACCAACAAAAUGGUAGUAUUAAUUACAGUUAAAUAGAGUAGUUAUUAACAGGUGAUUUUUGCAGUGGCUGUGUGUGUUAAAUAGUUUAAACAGGACCACAUCGUGAUUGGAAAUGAGAGAGUUACCAAAUAUUUUCUGAUUUUUGAAAUAUAAAUGCUAAUAUUGCCACUCUGUAUAUAGGGAGAUAUUACAUAUGCGUGAAAUCAAAAUACACAAACCAUAAUAUGUUUGAAAGAAAAUGUCUGCCUUUAAAUUAAAAAAAAUUGAAUUCACAAACCCAUAAUAAUUCAAUGUUAAAAAGACUUUUUGAGAGUAAACGGAUGAUUUUUGCUUUAUGGAACGUAAGUUGUGAAUUUCUACUUUCAUUUAAACUGUGCUUUGAAUAGCCAGUAUCAUAGUCAAUUAAUCUUGAUAUUAACUUAACUUUUUUUAAUGGGUUUCCUUUAAUUUAUCAUAAUUGUAAUGGCAAUUGAAUCAUUUUUAAGGAUGCUUGAAGACUUUGUGUUCUUUAGACAAUUC
Leucoraja erinaceus (little skate) is the source of this 5064-nucleotide RNA transcript. It is a transcript of the gene named valosin containing protein (p97)/p47 complex interacting protein 1, with no coding region annotated. Lineage: Eukaryota; Metazoa; Chordata; Chondrichthyes; Rajiformes; Rajidae. The record is from RefSeq and is a predicted model, not a curated record. The transcript is spliced from 5 exons.